This 253-nucleotide ribosomal RNA is filed under the name uncultured bacterium. RNAcentral's name for it is "partial 16S ribosomal RNA". It matches the Rfam family "Bacterial small subunit ribosomal RNA", at positions 524 to 776 of the family's 1533-position model. The record is from RNAcentral.
UACGGGGGGAGCAAGCGUUGUUCGGAUUUACUGGGCGUAAAGGGCGCGUAGGCGGUCAGCACAAGUCAGUUGUGAAAUCUCCGAGCUUAACUCGGAAAGGUCAACUGAUACUGUGCGACUAGAGUGCGGAAGGGGCAACUGGAAUUCUUGGUGUAGCGGUGAAAUGCGUAGAUAUCAAGAGGAACACCUGCGGCGAAGGCGGGUUGCUGGCCGACACUGACGCUGAGGCGCGAAAGCUAAGGGAGCGAACGGG